GGCUGAUUUCCUUCAGAAUGGAUCUUCUUGCAGUCCAUGGGACUCUCAAGAGUCUCCUCCAGAACAUAAUUCAAAAGCAACAAUUCUUCGGCGAUUGGCCUUCUUUAUGGUCCAGCUCUCACUUCCAUACAUCACUCCUGGGAAAUCCAUAGCUUGAACUAUACGGACCUUGAAUAUAGCCCAGUGGAAUAAAGAUUUUUAAAAAUAAGUCCAGUGUGAAUAAAAACAUGAGCAUAGGGCAUCAGGUGGGCCUCCCAGGUAGGGCAUUUGAAACUUGGAUGGCACCACAACAGUUGGCAGUUCCCACCCACCCAGUCUCCCACUACAGGAGCAACUGGAAGAGGAUAUUAUUAAAUGCCAUUCCAGAGGUUAGGACCUGAACCAGUGGAUUCCAACGACAAGGAAAGAGAUUCUGGCUCAACAUUAGGAAGACCUUUCUGGUGGUAAGAGCUGCUUGACUGUGGGACAGGCCCCCACAGGAGGUUGUGGACUCUCCUUCCUUUGAGGUUUCUAAGCAGAGGUUGGAUGGCUACCUGUCAUAGAUGUUUGAGCUGAGAUUCCUGCAAUGCAGAGGGUUGGACUCAAUGACCCUUGGGGUCCCUUCCAACUCUACAGUUCUAUGAUUUGGAUUUGGAUUUGGAUUUGAUAUCCCGCUUUAUCACUCCCCUUCAGGAGUCUCAAAGCGGCUGACAUUCUCCUUUCCCUUCUUCCCCCACAACAAACACUCUGUGAGGUGAGUGGGGCUGAGAGAUUUCAAAGAAGUGUGACUGGCCCAAGGUCACCCAGCAGCUGCAUGUGGAGGAGCGGAGACACGAACCCAGUUCCCCAGAUUACGAGACUACCGCUCUUAACCACUGCACCACACUGGUUCUAGGUUCUAGUCUCCACUCCUAACAGCAUCAAUUAGUUAACUGACGUUCGUACGGAGCCCCCGGUCGUCUCACGGACUAUUGACCCAUACACCACUAAUCCGCUGCCACCAACCAGGUCCUCCCCGGUAAAUCACUUAGUCUCAGUCAGGUUCUCACAUUAACAAAGAAGUGUGUAGUUUAUUGCAGAUACAAACAAACUUUAACUGCAUUCUAAACGUUGUUACUCUUUACCUUCUUAGUCUUAUUUUAUCCUGUCUUUAUCUCUUCUACCUCCCCGCACACAAGAACCCACUGCACUAACUGUCUCUCUAUUUCCAACUGCCUGCCAACUGCCUUCCCCAACCAACCAACCCACUAAAACCAACCAACUAACCACACCCAAACCUGGGGCUAAGCCCUUUUAUAAACAGGUAGGCUCCGCCUCCGGCUUUCCUAUUGGAAAUAUUCCUAUUUCCUAUAUUAACUCUUUCUCUCCCCCUGUAUAGACAUUUUCAAACGAACGGGCAAACGCCACAUUAACCAACAUCCCAGGGCCUUGUGUGGAUUAAAUGAGGAGGGGGGAAACCAUCUAUCCCACCUUGAGCUGUUGGGAUGAAAAGGUAGGAGGUGAAAUGAAUAAAGGAGUAAGUAAAUACAACUUUGGGGGUCCUGUGAGCCUCCAGAUGUUGUAGGACUCCAACUCCCACCAGCCAUAUUCAGCCUGGGCAAUGGCAAGAGAUGAUGGGAGUUUUAGCCCAGAAGAAUCUGGAGAGUUGGAAGCAGCUAUCAUGGUCUGGUCUACAGGCGGUCGAAGUCCUGGAGGAGGACGUCAGGACCAGGGGCAAGACGGCAGUGUGGGAGCAGGAAUGAGAGUCCGGAAGCCAAGGGUCAGAGAGCCAGGAGUCAAGAAGCCAAGGGUCUGAGGGUCAGGAAACCAAGGGUCAAGAAGCCAAAUGCAGCAAGGCAGAAAGCAUGUUGCUGUGGCAAAGAGCCAAAGGGAAAUGCUGACCUUAUAGCCCUUCCUGGCUCUUGCCACCAGGGGCUGUGAGUUACCAAUUGGCCUCACCUGUGCGGCCACGCCUUGCCUCUCCAGAACAAACUUAGGAAGGCCCCAGUCUUGCGAAGCCCUACCGGUCACAGGGCCUGGCUCCUGCACGCACUCCUGACAGCACCCAUCCCUCAUCUGUCUCUUGCUUCUCUGCUUGGAUGAGGUAACUGAAUGCCUUGUGUCUGUGGGGAGGAGAGCGCCUACACUGAGCACAAGUAAACAUUCAGCUAAUGAGCCUCUUCCAAGGGACCAUCAGCCCACUGAGUCUUGCAAGAGCAAAGUUAAUGAGGUCUGGGUGGGUAAUGCAUUCUCCGUUAUAAAUGGAGCACUGCAACUUUUAAAACUUAAACGCGGAGAACAGAAACCAGCGCAAGUGUUUUGCUCGUUCCUCGCAACAUCACUUUUCAUUCUUCUCUACCAGAACUUUUCAAAAUAAUCAGAAUUUUUUGAAUACAACUCAAAUGGAAACAUCAGAGCUGGGGAGGUGGGAGGAGGAAUCCUAGGUCUUUCCUGAGAGCAAUAUAUUCUGCCACGAAUAGUUAUGCAAUUUUCAGAUUUAUUAUCCUCAUCAUAGUUUGAGGUUCACAUGUGCUGUUAGUGGGAAGGUAGUCUUCCUCCUCCUUCGCUGUCUCCCACCCUGAAAAAUUUGCAGUGUAAAUCCAAAGCAUCUGUUUGCAAAAACUGCAAAUAAAUGACAGCCUAACUUAAGAAUAUAAGAAGAGCCUGCUGGAUCAGGCCAAAAGGGGUCCAUCCAUCUAAUUUCUAUCAUGACACCUUUUAGAGGGGAUGGCUAAACCCAAAGUUCAGGGGAGCAGAGAGAGAAAGGAAAGUGAAUAGCAAAGCAAGAGAACAAACUAUCCUCCUGCCCAACUUAUGCAAGGAAGGACAAUUAAGGGAUGGUGCCAUGUUUUAUGAGACAACGUUAUCUGCCAAACCCCAGUGGUGUGCUCCACCAUUUCACACCUUAAUGGAUUUAUCUUCUCGUAAGAGUAAGUGCACCUGAAACUCUUUGCUCGGUCCAAGAGUCAGAUGAGUUAUUUCACUUCUCCUUGCUUUCGUCCCACCCGGUGACCUUCCAGAGUAACCAGGAAGCCGUGUUCAUAUAUCAGCAUAAUCUGUGCGUGCUUGGCUGUGAUGGGGAAGAUGAAGGUUACCUGGUGUUGGAAUAAACCCAUCCAAGAUAAAGGUUGGCUCGCUAAGCUAAUUUACAAGAAGGAGGGGACCCCGGAGUGCCGCACCUAACAGAAGACAGAAAGGUCAUGGAGGGAGGAAAGGUACUUAUGGGGAAUGGGGAGCAAUUAUCGGAGAGACCCAAUACGCUAUGGACCUUCAAUAGCCUUUCUUGACUCAGACUUCCUGAGGCACAUACUUUGCCAUUUCACAUACCAAUAGAUUUAUACCUGAAAGUCUUCAUAUGAUGAGGUGCCAUAUAUUCAAGGAGGCCAGUCUAGCCCCAAGCUGGCCAGUUUCCCAAACCCAAAACUGAGGUCUUCUCCAUCCAACUGUCCAAUACUAUCAAGGGAAGUAAUAGUACUUCUCUAUUCUGUCUUGGUCAGACCCCAUCCUGUGUCCAGUUCUAGACACCACAGUUUAAGAAGGAUAUCGUCAAACUAGAAGGUGCAGAGCAGAGCAGAGCAACCAAGAUGACUGAGGGUCUGGAGACCAAGCCUGAUGAGGAACGUUUGAGGGAGUUGGGUAUGCUUAGCCUGGAGAAGAGGACUGAAAGGAGUCUUCAAAUAUCUGAAGAAAAGAUGGAGGAAGCUUGUUUUCUGCUGCUUCAGAAGAUAGGACCAAUGGAUUCAAAUGACUAGAAAGGAGAUUCUGACUCAACAUUAGGAAGAACUUUCUGAUGGCAAUUGCUGCUUGACAGGCUCCCUCAGAAGGCGGUGGACUCUCUUUUAUUGGAGGUUUCUAAGCUGAGGUUGGAUGGCUAUCUCUCAUGGAUUCUUUAGCUGUAACUCUUGCAUUGCAGGGGUUGGACUACAUGGGCUUAGGGGAUCCCUUCCAACUCUGUGGUUUUAUGAUGAUUUUUUCAUCUGAAGAUAAUUUUAUCCGAAAGUUCAUCUCAGACUCUCUGUUCAGUAUUCCUACUGUUAUUAUUUCAGGCUUGCAGUAUGCGACACAUGAUAAAUGUAGGGACACAUCGGAAGGAAAACGCUUGCCUUUUCUGUUUGCAAGGGGGAUUUAUCACCGCAUAUGCUAUCUAAUGUUAAGUCAGCUCGAACCUGGCAGGUGGAAAACAUAAGCCAUUCUGUUUCCCCCAACUGUUCACCUGGAAAGAACCCUCUGCUCGCCAUAGGCGAAUGUCUCCAUCGAUACCUGGCAUAUCAUUCUUAGCCCUUCAGAUAUGCUAACGUGAUUUCUUUUCCCCCAGUGCCUGCCUUGGCCAUAAACUGCUGCCCACUGUAGCAGAUGGGCUUCGGUCUGUUUCAGAAGGGGCUAUUUAUGGUGUCGCCAUUUACACGAAAACAGGAAACGCAGCACAUUUCCAUACAAAAGCGUGUGGCAACAUACCAUGUUUGCUGUGUUUCAUGCUGAGGAAGCCUCGUCUUAAUGAGAAAGUCUACAUAAUUAACCCAGAUUAAUUUAGGGUGUGCAUUUAAUACACAGAGCUUAAUCUGUGCUAAGCCCUUCUAAACCUCCAGACGGGCACCCAUUGUAGAUUAGCAGGCCCUCCUCUGAGCCAAGAUUAAUGCUGUUUUAAACUGAAUUAAGGGUAGCUGAAGGAAAGGGGGCAGCCACUUCUAAUCUAUUCCUCGUGCUCUGCAGGCGUCGGACUUCACCAUGGGCAGUGUCGAAAUCCUGCUCCUCUUGUCUGUUCUAAGCCAAACCAUUUCAAGAAACAACUUUACCAUUCCCAUGUUUGCGGAUAUUUAUCCAGGAGCCCAAUUUGAGCAGAAAGCUCUAACAUCUGCACAGUGGGGAGGUAAAGGUAAAGGUAAAGGGACCCCUGACCAUUAGGUCCAGUCGUGGCCAACUCUGGGGUUGCGGAGCUCAUCUCGCUUUAUUAGCCAAGGGAGCUGGCGUACAGCUUCCGGGUCAUGUGGCCAGCAUGACUAAGCCGCUUCUGGUGAACCAGAGCAGCACACGGAAACACUGUUUACCUUCCCACCAGAGCGGUACCUAUUUAUCUAUUUGCACUUUGAUGUGCUUUUGAACUGCUAGGUGGGCAGGAGCAGGGUCCGAGCAACGGGAGCUCACCCCGUUGCGGGGAUUCAAACCGCCAACCUUCUGAUGGGCAAGCCCUAGGCUCUGUGGUUUAACCCACAGCGCCACCCGCGUCCUGCACAGUGGGGAGGGAGAGGGGCAACUACUGCUUCCUGCACCAAGAUUUUUAAAAAUCCCAUUGGCCACCUGCAACAUGGCGAUCUUCCAGGAUCCAGCUCUCUACUCAACCAGGUGUUGGAAGGAUGAGAAAGAACAGUACUCAUCUUCUCUUCAGCCCUACAGUUGUGCACUGAACAGCCAGCACAAUCUCCCUUCGUAUUUUUCUUUUUGACAGCCAGGGCUUCUGCGGGUGAGGUCCACACAGGGAUCUGUGGUUCUAAUACUCCUUUAUAUUUUACCCAGCAAUUUUCUUAUAAUGUGAUUCAAAAAUCCCUUGUGUACCCUCACCUUUUCAUAAAUUAGAUAAAGCAUGUCAACCAUAGCGGUUAUCAAAACUCUCUAGGCCUACCACACCUGUAUCUCUUAAGGUAAUCCAAUCUUUAAUCCUUUUAAAUUAUCAUUUUUCAAGUGUAGCACACCAAUAAAAAGUUCGUUGAAAUUGGUAUUACAAUAAAAAGCACCGUUGAUGUCAUCCAAAAAACAAACAGUCUGUUAACUCAAGUCAAUGAACAAAAAAAAUCCUUUCUUUAAAAAAAUAAUCAGUCUUUGUUGUCAUUUGUACCUAUGGAUAUCAUUAGUUAUUUUGGAUACCACUGUAUCAUUCCUCAGUUAUCAGAGAACCAUAGAACUGUUGAGAUGGAAGGGAUCCCAAGUCCAACUCCCUGCAAUGGUUUAUCAUUUGCUUUGACACCUUAUUCCAUUUCCAGUGCAUAUUUUAUUCUGGAUUCUGUGUUUACACUGGCCAGUAAACAUGUCUGGGUGUUUUCUACACACAGCUAACACUGCAUGGGAGAUGAGCAGGGCUGCCUUGACCUCUCAUGCUCCCUGUAAAUAUGUGAGAUGCAAGCUGCAAUGGAGGAGAGACAGAGUUUGGAUUUUUGGAAUCUUUUAUUUCAAAAAAGAUGCUGAGCCUUUGCUGGAGAACACAAGACAUUGUAUGGGUAUUUUGGUUGCAUCUUUCAUGCUUAUGUUCAGUUUUUGAAGAAUUCUGCCAGUAAAACUUUGAAUAAUAUUUUUAUGGGACAGGACAACGAUUUCUUGCAAAGGAGUCAGUUCUUACGCUUCCAGUCUCUUCAAAGUGUGCAAUAUUAAUAUCUGCAAUACAUGUUAAGAUCCGAAUGCAAACCUGCUCUUGCAGAUGUGACCUUUGGACUUCAAACUUCACACCAUUCGUAGCGUUUUCACUUCUUUUGUUAAAAGUCAGAGCUAAAUCGGCGUCACUGGCUAUCAGGGCAAUUUUCCAUCACGGGGCUUACAAUAAAAAGGUGUCGGUUUUAAAGAUAAGUAGACGAUUUGCCAAUAAAAGUACAUGGUGGUUAUCAUAAUGAUAGCUAAGUCCUUCAUCCUACCAGCCCAUCUUCCCAAAAUAGCAACACACUUUGAAUUAACAUAUAAUGAUCCUUUUUAUUCGAGUCAUCUGUGUCUGUAAAAGAGGAAGUAAUUGGUGGGGAAAUGGGAGGAGGAAGGCGGCAGCAGCAGAAAACACAAUUUGUGCUUCUCCCUUCUGCUAGGGACCAAGUCAGGGCUCCCCAAAGCAACACAACACCCUGCCUUCUGGAUGUUGCCUGACAACCAACACCCCACUUGGUUUUCUCUGCUGGAUGAGGCUGGUGUGAUCUGGCACCCCCAAAGUCAGGAGCCCCGACUGCAUUGGCUACACCCGUGUGAUCCUAACUAGGGAUACCUGAAGGAGCGUCUCCACCCCCAUCGUUCUGCCCGGACACUGAGGUCCAGCUCCGAGGGCCUUCUGGUGGUUCCCUCCCUGCGAGAAGUGAGGUUACAGGGAACCAGGCAGAGGGCCUUCUCGGUGGUGGUGCCCGCCCUGUGGAACGCCCUCCCAGCGGAGGUCAAAGAGAACAACAACUACCAAACUUUUAGAAGACAUCUGAAGGCAGCCCUAUUUAGGGAAGCUUUUAAUGUUUAAUAGGUUAUUGUAUUUUAGUGUUUAGAUGGAAGCCGCCCCGAGUGGCUGGGGAAACCCAGCCAGAUGCGCGGAGUAUAAAUAAUAAAUUAUAUUAUUAUUAUUAUUAUUAUUAUUAUUAUUAUUAUUAUUAUUAUUAUUAUUAUUAUUAUUAUUAUUAUUAUUAUUAUUAUUAUUAUUAUUAUUAUUAUUAUUGGUUUCCCCAUAUGUACUGGGGAUGCCCAGAGGUAAAGGAAUUCUGGAAUAAAAUCCUAAAGGUUGUUAAUGAACUGUUUAAAGUGAAACUUUGAACAGACUUUGAUCUCCUGACAAUGGGUAUACUUGGAAUCACGGCUCUAGAGAAAGGGGACCAGCUUAUUUUCAAAGCUAUGAUAUUAGCGGGAAAGGCAACGAUAGCUUUAGGUUGGAAAGACAGAGAAAAAUGGACAGUAGAGGCAUGGAAUAGUUAUUUGUUUGAACUUAUUCAGCCGGACAUUGUCGCAGUCACGUCACAGGAAACAACGUGGAAGGUCAAGUCCACCACGAUAAGGAACAGAUGGAACCCCUAUCUUCAAUGGAUAGAAACUACUGGAACAAAAGACAUUCGGUGGAAACGAAAGACGCUAUGUCCGUGGCUGAGGAUAAUUGUUUGAACCCUUCCACUGGAUAUGGGGGGUGGGGGGAAGGGAGGGGAAGGAAAAAACUGUACGGGAAAUUUAAAAAUUGGAAGGAGAUAAUAUAAUGCAUGUACAAAUCCCGAAAUAAAUUAAUUAAAAAAAGAAGAAGAUAAGAAAUCACCAAGCUGAUAGAUGCCAUCAGUCCUCCUGCUUCUAACAAGAGACUCUGGGUUUGAACCCAACAUUGGGUGAAAGAUUCCAAUUCUACAGUUCUGUGAUUCUUUUGAUUCUGUCCCUUGCCAGAUCCAAGUUACAGAAAGGAUGAUUGUUUUUAUUAUUAUUUUAAAAAUCAACGGAAGAAGUUUGGAAUUCCUCCAAGUGCAACCCCCUCCCCAAGGGAACCUCAUUCCAAGGAAAGAUGUGAUAGAAAUGUGAGAGCCAGCAUGAAGAACCUGGGUAUCUGUCAAUAUUCACAGGAGCUAUUUUUAGGCAGGGAGGCAGGCAAGAGAGAGAGAGAGUAAGAAAGAAGACAAGUAUUAAAAUGUUAAUACAAACUUGUCGGCGUCUGAUUGCCUUUAGCGAGCCACUCGCAGCUUCAUUAGCCAGCGGCGGCUCCCAACCUGUACAGCCUUCAGGGAUCACGGAUCCCGAAGUCUGGACUGGAAGCAGAGUUUGCCUGGAAACUGUAGCUCUGCCAACCUCUUUAAAGCCCAAACCCAUCGCUCUCCACUGCAACUAGAGCCUGCUCUCUCCUGUCUCCCCAAAUCAGCGGUUCCCAAAGUGGCCAGGGGCUCUCUCUGGGGGCAGUGGGAUUAUCCAGAGGGGUGCUAAGAGACAAAGGGCUAGCAGAGGGGCAAUGGAAAUGACCAUUUAGUACUCCUGCUAAGGGACUUUAAACCAAACAUUGGGAGUCAAAUCAGUUAUGAUCAAAUAGGCACAAGAUAUAGGACAUAAUAUACAAUCUGAGGACUGGGAGAAAUUGUGGAAAGUAAAUAUGUGGUCCAGCUCUCACUUCCAUACAUCACUAUGGUUUUCCCAGUAGUGAUGUAUGGAAGUGAGAGCUGGACCAUAAAGAAGGCUGAUCACUGAAGAAUGGAUGCUUUUGAAUUCUGGUGCUGGAGGAGACUCUUGAGAGUCCCAUGGACUGCAAGAAGAUCCAACCUAUCCAUUCUGAAGGAAAUCAGCCCUGAGUGCUCACUGGAAGGACAGAUCCUGAAGCUGAGGCUCCAAUACUUUGGCCACAUCAUUAGUAGAGAAGACUACCUGGAAAAGACCAUGAUGUUGGGAAUGAUGGAGUGCUGAAGGAGAAGGGGACGACAGAGGACGAGAUGAUUGGACAGUGUUGUCGAAGCUACCAGCAUGAGUUUGACCAACUGCGGGAGGCAGUGGAAGACAGGAGUGCCCGGCGUGCUCUGGUCCAUGGGGUCACGAAGAGUCGGACACGACUAAACAACAACAUGCUUUGAUAGUUGUAUGUCGAAAUUGUUAAUAAAAAUAUUUUUUAAAAAAACAACAACAACCAAACAUUGGGAAACUAGUAUCAACACAUUAAGUGCUUACUGAGCAGUGAAGCUGUUGCUAAAAGUGGAAUGGACUCUUGCUAAAUGACCAUCAGACCUUGAAAGGCUGGUGGCAGAAGGACAGGAAAAAGAGGCAUCCCCAUCUUAGGUGUGGAUUUGCUGCUGGAGGCAUUCCAGGACCUUGCUUAGGGAUGCCCCUUUGUAGCGGUGAAUGUUGAGGCUCCUCCUCCACAAUGCAUGACUUUGGAUGCACAUAGCAAUGUGGUGGACCACCAGCCCAUUUGCCUCAACAAUGAACAACAGCUACUUCUCCCCCACCCCACAAAGGAAACCACAACAGCCAGGAGAAACCAAGCACAGAAGCCCACAACUUGGGUGGUUUAAGAAGAUUGAGCAAAUUCAUGGAGGAGAAGGCUACUGAUAGCCACUAGUCAUGGUGGCUAUGUACUGCCCUCCAUGGUGCAGAAGAUGGAGCAAUGCUUAUGAAUACCAGUUGUUGGAUUCUACAGGAGGGGGGAGAGCUCUUCUGAUUGAAUCCUGCUUACAGGUUUCCCAGAGGCAUCUGUUGGCUGCUGAGAGAAAGGGAUGCUAGACUAGAUGGGCCUCGUUUGGUCUGAGAUAUCUCAAGGGCUUUCUCAUGGAAGAGGGAACAAGAUUGUUUUCUCCUGCUCUGGAGGGAAGGACUCAAUCCAAUGAAUUCAAAUUACAAGAAAGGAGAUUCCGACUAAGCAUCAGGAAGAACUUUCUGACAAUACGAGCUGUCCGACAGAGGAACGGACGCCCUCAGGAGGUGGUGGACUCUCCUUCCUUGGAGGUUUUUAAGCAGAGGUUGGGUGGUCAUCCGUCAUGGAUGCUUGAGCUGAGAUUCCUGCAUUGCAGAGCAAGUCUGGGCAAUGAUGGGUCACCCCCCCACACACACCCCCAAACAAAACCCUCCUGGCUUUAUCAAGAUAAACCUUCUAUAGAAUGGUUUGCUUUGAUUUUGUAGGGGCUUUAUUCUUGCAGCGUUUUAAAUAUCUAGCACUAAACUUGCAUCACUAGAAUGUUUUUGAAUUAUUUUAUACACGACUGCAAGCCGACUACCUGCUGGAUAUAAAGAAGUGCCAGCAUUUAUAAAUAAUCCAGAGGCAUACAGCUCAAGAUAAAACCCCAACAAAAUCAACUUGCCAGAAGCCAGGAAUGGCUCUUUGUUUGCAAAAGCACCAGAUGCCUCUAUAUACCCCUUCUGCAAAACAAGACUCCUUCCUCUCCAGUGUCUAGCAGUGGAGAGCAUGUCUGAACUCAGAAACUGCUCCACGCCACAGGCUUCUUUGUUCCUGGAAACUUCUGAGCGAUGAAUCAAAUCUCCCAGGAGAAUUUGAAAGUGGUGGCACCCAACUCUAUAUUCACCUGGCUGGGAACAUGCACAUAUCCAGACCAGGGUACUUGCCUGCAUUUUGAAGAAAUGACUAUUUCCCUCAGUGGCCCUCCCUCAUCUAGGCCUGGUAGUAGGUAUCCUGGGGAAUGUUAUUUCCCAAUGGCAUCCAAAGUAGGGACGCCAUAUGUCCAUUUCCCCCCGGACACGUCCUCUUCUUCAGAGUUAAAAUUUCUGUCCAGGCAGAUUUAUAAAAUUUGGAAAAAUGUCUGGGAUUUUUUUGUUUGGUACAUAUACCAUUCUAUUUGUACUGAACUGGAAGUUCCUUCAGCAACUAAGGGCAGAGGAAAAGCAACCGGCAGCUUCACUCACUCACUCACUCACUCACUCAAUCAAUCAAUCAAUCACUGGGCUUAACCGAAUUCAUUUCUGGUCAUCUAUGCCUUGGUAAUAAUGAUGAUGAUGAUGAUGAUGAUGAUGAUGAUAUUACACUGGUACCUCUGGUUGUGAACAGGAUCCAUUCUGGAGGCCCGUUCGCAACAUGAAAGGAACGCAACCUGCAGCGGCGCGUCUGCGCACGCACGGGUUGCAAUUCGCCGCUUCUGGGUUUGGAAUUGCCCAAGAAAGAUGUUAAAUUAUUUUUGUAUGCCACAACUGCUGCUCGUAUUUUGUUAGCUAAAAAGUGGAAAACCUAAGAAUUACCAACAAUAGAAGAAUGGCAGAUGAAGAUGAUGGAUUUUUUGGAGCUAGCCAACCUAACCGGAAGAGUCCGUGACCAGAAGGAGGAGGAGUAUCAGGAAGAAUGGAAUAAAUUCAAUGAUUAUUUAGUUAAAUUUGUUAAGUUAAACUAACUGGAAAUAGCUUGCAGAUACUUAAUGGGCUCAGGAUUUUAUUUAUGUUAAGUGAUGAAUUAAUAUGUUUAAUUCUAUAAGGUGAAGAUCUAAGGAUGUUAAUGUUUAAGUUAAGUUUCAUAAAAAUUGGGAUUUGGAAAACCGUUAAAAGGACAUGCAAUGAAAUUCAACCAAGGGGAAGCGAGGAAGUCACUUAACAAAGUUAAUAACUGUAAUUUUAAUAAGGCUAUGAUUUAUGUUUGUUUUGUUUGUUUGUUUUGUGUGUGUGCUUGUUUGUUUGUUUAUAAUAUGGUGAAAACCAGUAAAAAAAAAAUGGGAGAAAAAAAGCAAUUCGCCGCUUCUGCACAUGCGUGCCACAUCAUUUUGCACUUCUGCGCAUGCGUGAGUGGCGUAACCCGGAAGUAACCCUUUCCGGUACUUCCGGGUCACCGCGGGACAUAACCUGAAAGAACGUAACAUGAAGCGGACGUAACAUGAGGUAUGACUGUAAUAAUAAUAAUUUAUUAUUUAUACCCCGCCCAUCUGGCUGGGUUUCCCCAGCCACUCUGGGCGGCUUCCAACAAAGUAUUAAAAUACAGUGGUCUGUUAAACAUUAAAAGCUUCCCUUCCUUUCAAAACCCCAAAACGCAUAACUUGGAAGUAUCUGCUGCACCAUCUUCUCUGCAAUAGCCAUGAAUGCAGAGAUUAACAUUUGAAAUGGUUCGCUCUUUUUCUACACACCCACCCAACUUUUAAAACCUUUUCAAACUUCUUGUUUGAUGAAUAUUUGAGGAUGAGAGCUUUAAAUACUGGGCUUGAGAGCAUUUUCUUGUCUCUUAAAAGGAUUGCAGGAAGAAUAUGAGGCCAACAUGCAGCAAGGCCCAUUUAUUAGAAGCCCCUGGAAAUAAUUGACAUUAUUUUAAGGACCGUGAUAUUUGUACAGGCUCUGACAAUGCACACCUCUGUGCCUCUUCUUGUCAUGAACUAAGUCUUUGCAUGAUGUAAACGGAAGACUCUUCGCAUUUUACUGUGGGUCUAAUUCAUAUGACUGGGAUCCUCCCUCUUCCAACCUUGACACAUCUCAGCACCCUUGCAAAUAUCUACUAUCUCCAAACCCACAUUCAGUUUAGUGGACAAUGCAGGAGAGGGGUCUGUGCAGAAGCCCCUGAUUUCAGGCAUCCCAGAGGCACCCCAGGGAUGAUGGGAAUUGUAGUCCCAAAACAUCUGGAGGGCUGCGUUUGCCUAUGCCUGGACUAGGGUCUGGGAGACCAGGGUCCGAAUCCUCACUGGGUUACCUUGGGGGCCAGUCACUGCCUCUCAGCCAAACCUACACCACAGGGUUGUUGUUGGAUUAAAUGAGAAGAGAGAGAGAGGAACCAUACAUGCCCCCUUGAGCUCCUUGGAGAACAGGGACUCAGCUACAGUAGUAAAAACAAAAACAAAAACCCAGUGUUUUAAAUGCAUUAUAAACAUGCAACACCAGAUGGCGCUGUAGAGCACAAAACUUUUCUAUGUGAGUUCUCAUAGUGUUUUUUUCCCCUUUUGUUAAAAUGAUUUCAUUUGUGACUUAUUUAUAGCAUUUCCUUUCCUGUGUGCAGAUCUAGCCCAGGUAGGAUAUAAAUGCAAUAAAUAAAUAAGUGGAGGAGGAAAGUGGAGAUAGGGAGGGAGAGACUUCAUACACGGCUCAAGUGCUGGUGUUGUGCGGAUGCGAAAAGGGAGGAGGAAGGUGCAAUUGCUACGCAAACUCUCAUCGGCCAAUUCCUUGGCUGCGAGUCUCGGCUUGACGUAUAAACGCAGCGAUUAACCGCCACUCUCAGCCUGCCUCACCUGAACUAACAAGGCUAGCAUCAGCCAGAGAGAGAAAGGAUAAAAAGAUGGUGCUAUAAACAUAUCUGAUUCAUUUGGCCUUGUCAUCAGGGCUUCCCAUCAGGCAGGGCCAACUUUGGCGCAUGCUGCUUUCUUCAGCUCCCACCCGAUGGGAAGACCCAGUUUGCGUAGCAUCCAGGCCAGGCCUAAGCAAACUCGCCCUCCAGAUGUUUUUGGGACUACAACUCCCAUCAUCCCUGACCACUGGUCCUGUUAGCGAGGGAUGAUGGGAGUCGUAGUCCCAAAACAUCUGGAGGGCUGAGUUUGCCUAUGCCCCUGAUCCAGGCAUCCAAGGUAGCUUCUAGAUAAGAGCUCGGUUUGGAGAGAGGGAAGCAAUCGAGGGGGAAGGAAACACAGCCUUCCAGGACUGCAAAGGCGUUCCACAGCAGCACUGCAGCCUCAACGUCUCUGCAGGAAAAACAGCACUUGCUCCAUCAAGAGGACGUUGGGUGUGAUGCUCACGGCAGAAACGUAGGCACCUGCCUGAUACUGAAUCAGUGCAUCUAGCACGUAUUGGCAGUGGCUCCCAAGAAUUUCAGACGGUGGACCUUUCCCAGCCCCGUCCAGAGAUGGAAGCUGAGAUCUUUGGCAUCCAAAGCAGGUGCUCUACCCACUGAGCUGCAAGGCAAGCCGAGUGUGAUGGCCUGGGAAUCGGAUUCAGAGGCUGAACCUGAGGAAUCCCAGCCUGCACAGGAUUCCCCGCCUCCAGAACCAGCUGAGCCGGGGCUGGGGCAUGAGCCUGAAGGGCCCUCACCUGUGCUGGAUCCUCAGGUGCAGGCACCAGCUGAGUCUGCUCUGGCUGCUGAGGUGAUGGAGGACCCAUUGCCUGCAGGUGCUCCACUCUCAGCCCCGUCAGGGGAAGAGGAGGUUGCCUCUGGGUCUGGUAACCCUCCAGCCUCUCCUGAGCUGCAGAGGCUCAGAGCAGAGAGGCGGAGGGAACUAAGUUCCCGCAGGAGGAGUGCUCGCCUCCAGGCCAGGAGAGGCGAGUCACCUGUGGACCGGGGCUGCCCUAUGCCUCAGGGCAGAUAAAAGCCAGCCAGCCCCAGUCCCAAGUUGUGGGAGCAACAUUGUUGGUAGCCUGUUUCUGCCAGCACCCUGUCCUGCUCUUCUGCCAGAGUUCCUGACCUCACCCGACUCCUUGCCUUGGAC
RNAcentral lists this long non-coding RNA (14462 nucleotides) under Podarcis lilfordi (Lilford's wall lizard). Lineage: Eukaryota; Metazoa; Chordata; Lepidosauria; Squamata; Lacertidae. The record is from RNAcentral.